ACUUUAUCGAGAGUGGUCGAGGGAACAGGCCCGUGGACACCACAGCAACCUGCUUUGGUAAGGUGCUAAAACCUGCGGUUCAAAUCCGAGUGAUGAGGA
Regulatory RNA element from Clostridium sp. CAG:217, 99 nucleotides. It matches the Rfam family "SAM riboswitch aptamer (S box leader)". From Rfam's summary of the family: The SAM riboswitch is found upstream of a number of genes which code for proteins involved in methionine or cysteine biosynthesis in Gram-positive bacteria. The SAM riboswitch acts at the level of transcription termination control. The predicted structure consists of a complex stem-loop region followed by a single stem loop terminator region. The record is from Rfam. Lineage: Bacteria; Bacillati; Bacillota; Clostridia; Eubacteriales; Clostridiaceae.